RNAcentral lists this unclassified non-coding RNA (216 nucleotides) under Paragibellulopsis chrysanthemi. RNAcentral's name for it is "Gibellulopsis chrysanthemi partial internal transcribed spacer region". The stretch from base 1 to 46 matches the Rfam family "Eukaryotic small subunit ribosomal RNA", at positions 1786 to 1831 of the family's 1831-position model. The record is from RNAcentral. Lineage: Eukaryota; Fungi; Ascomycota; Sordariomycetes; Glomerellales; Plectosphaerellaceae.
AAGUCGUAACAAGGUCUCCGUUGGUGAACCAGCGGAGGGAUCAUUACUGAGACUUAUCUCAUAACCCUUUGUGAACCUUUAUAACCUGUUGCUUCGGCGGCGCGGCCCCCGGGUCGUGCCCGCCGGUAUCAUCAGAAUCUCUGUUCGAACCCGACGAUACUUCUGAGUGUUCUAAGCGAACUGUUAAAACUUUCAACAACGGAUCUCUUGGCUCCA